GUGCCAGCCGCCGCGGUAACACGUAGGGGGCGAGCGUUGUUCGGAAUUACUGGGCGUAAAGGGCAUGUAGGCGGCUUGGUAAGCCUGGCGUGAAAGACUGCAGCUUAACUGUAGGGAUGCGUUGGGAACUGCUUAGCUUGAGUUACGGAGAGGGAGCUGGAAUUCCUGGUGUAGGGGUGAAAUCUGUAGAUAUCAGGAAGAACACCGAUGGCGAAGGCAAGCUUCUGGUCGAUAACUGACGCUGAGGUGCGAAAGUGUGGGGAUCAAACAGGAUUAGAUACCCUGGUAGUCCACACUGUAAACGAUGUGCACAAGGUGCUAAAACAAUAGUUUCAGUGCCGGAGCGAACGCGGUAAGUGCACCGCCUGGGGAGUAUGCUCGCAAGGGUGAAACUUAAAGGAAUUGACGG
RNAcentral lists this ribosomal RNA (409 nucleotides) under uncultured bacterium. Its description in RNAcentral is "bacterial SSU rRNA". It matches the Rfam family "Bacterial small subunit ribosomal RNA", at positions 505 to 916 of the family's 1533-position model. The record is from RNAcentral.